RNAcentral lists this long non-coding RNA (801 nucleotides) under Trifolium pratense (red clover). RNAcentral's name for it is "long non-coding RNA (TPRA_LNC008999)". Lineage: Eukaryota; Viridiplantae; Streptophyta; Magnoliopsida; Fabales; Fabaceae. The record is from RNAcentral.
ACUUUUGUCUUAAACUAGCUCAUGGAAGUAGAAUAACAUCACACGCAAACAUUUAUCUACGAUACUAGGAGAACUUGUAUUCACCACGAGUUGUUGGUUCUUCAGGAAUUCAAUGUUUCCCAUGUUCAUUUAUAAAGUGUUAGCAUAUUUCAUAAUGUGACUCCUCUGGAGCCUAUAAACAUGGAAUUCAACUUAUGCCAAUGUCUAUUUGUUUUUCUGCUGCUUUAAUACAGGCUGAAAUCAACGCAUUUAAGAAGAAAGUUUCACAAAUUGAUGUCUUGAAGGAGCAAAUUGAAUUUCUAAUGCAAAUGCAAAAUGCUACCGAAAACUAGGUAAAAUUUCAUUCUAGUUCAUCACAAGCUUAAUCAGAAUACUAAUUAUAAUAUUUACAAUUGGUCCAAAUGUUUUAAGUUCUGAUUUAUGUUAUGUUAUAGAGCACAUUUCAAUUGUAAAACAUGAUUUUGCAAAAGAUUUAAUUCAAUUUGUUAAUCAUUUUUGUUUCUAUCUAAUUUGAGUACACUACAUGAUGUGAACAUAGAGGAAGAGAAUAGCAUGCAACUCUUUAUCAUUUGGAAGUUGCCUUGGUGAUUUAGAUAUUAACAUUGGAGAAUAACUCAGGUAAAUGCAAUACUCUGGUUGUGUUCAUCCUAAGUACUCUACCAAUUAUUCAAUAAUUAAGUGUUGUCUCACAUUUCUAAUAUGAUUUUUUAUAGUUGUGAAUUUGUAUGUGUGUGGAAUAAGGAAUACCUUUGUAAUGUUAUUUUAUGCAUUUAAAUUAGAUACAAUAUCAGACCAAAUUAU